Molecule: long non-coding RNA, 738 nt
Organism: Carassius auratus (goldfish)
Lineage: Eukaryota; Metazoa; Chordata; Actinopteri; Cypriniformes; Cyprinidae
Exons: 2
Source: RefSeq, a predicted model, not a curated record
UAUUUCUGCGCUGAUAACUACAUCUGUGCUCACAUACUAGCCUAAAAUCCUAUAUCAGCUUUUACAUUAGGUUGUUUUCUUCAAAAUGAGAGCAUUCUCGUGUGUCUGUGAGCAUGCAUGGCUAAACGGCACUAUAAUAUGUCUCAGAUGCGCAGAUCAAAACAUGCAAUGCAGCGUAAAACAUGACCAGUAUUUGUAUUGACUCUCUUUGAUUCCUUUCGACUUGCAAUGACGUCAUCACGCAGUGCGUCCUAUGUCAUGAAAGCUGACAGCCUCCCCUCUCCAUAGACACAUCGAUCAAGCUUCUAGACCAUUCAGAGCCCGAGUUGUUCCUUUCCAAAGUUGAGGAGGUGGGACUAAAGAAAACGCCGCAAACGGGCGCAGAUGAUUAUUGAUGAGUUGAUCGGAAGUUGGUUUGUGAUUUUGGAUAGCGUUUUAGCGAAUUAUUGCGUGCUUUUAUUACUGUUAGAGUUAUAUGUCUCUGAAAAAUGACUUCAAGAAAGUUUUUUGUUGGUGUGGAGGCGGCUUUGGAGGAGUUUGAUCGGAUGUCCGACACUGAAACUUGCAGCGAGGCUAGCUAGCUUUGACUCGGUCAGAGAAGCUGCUUACAAACUGGGAGAAGACCCUGAUUUUGAUUGUAGCAUCCAGUGGUGAAGAAAGGGAGCCAGCAAGUCAGGAUACUUAUCUUGUGUGUGUGUGUGUGUGUGUGUGUGUGUAAAAUAAAAUGCAAGAACAGAA